This 429-nucleotide ribosomal RNA is filed under the name Actinomycetes bacterium. RNAcentral's name for it is "Actinobacteria bacterium partial 16S ribosomal RNA". It matches the Rfam family "Bacterial small subunit ribosomal RNA", at positions 355 to 776 of the family's 1533-position model. The record is from RNAcentral. Lineage: Bacteria; Bacillati; Actinomycetota; Actinomycetes.
UAGGGAAUCUUCCGCAAUGGGCGAAAGCCUGACGGAGCAACGCCGCGUGAGUGAUGAAGGUCUUCGGAUCGUAAAACUCUGUUAUUAGGGAAGAACAAAUGUGUAAGUAACUAUGCACGUCUUGACGGUACCUAAUCAGAAAGCCACGGCUAACUACGUGCCAGCAGCCGCGGUAAUACGUAGGUGGCAAGCGUUAUCCGGAAUUAUUGGGCGUAAAGCGCGCGUAGGCGGUUUUUUAAGUCUGAUGUGAAAGCCCACGGCUCAACCGUGGAGGGUCAUUGGAAACUGGAAAACUUGAGUGCAGAAGAGGAGAGUGGAAUUCCAUGUGUAGCGGUGAAAUGCGCAGAGAUAUGGGGGAACACCAGUGGCGAAGGCGACUUUCUGGUCUGUAACUGACGCUGAUGUGCGAAAGCGUGGGGAUCAAACAGG